This 253-nucleotide ribosomal RNA is filed under the name uncultured bacterium. RNAcentral's name for it is "partial 16S ribosomal RNA". It matches the Rfam family "Bacterial small subunit ribosomal RNA", at positions 524 to 776 of the family's 1533-position model. The record is from RNAcentral.
UACGAAGGACCCGAGCGUUAUCCGGAUUUAUUGGGUUUAAAGGGUGCGUAGGCGGGUUGAUAAGUCAGUGGUGAAAGCCCGUCGCUUAACGGCGGAACUGCCAUUGAUACUGUCAGUCUUGAGUAUGGUUGAGGUGGGCGGAAUGUGUCAUGUAGCGGUGAAAUGCUUAGAUAUGACACAGAACACCAAUUGCGAAGGCAGCUCGCUAAACCAUAACUGACGCUGAUGCACGAAAGCGUGGGGAGCAAACAGG